GACGAACGCUGGCGGCGUGCUUAACACAUGCAAGUCGAACGGUGAAGCGCCUUCCUUUUUGGUGGGUGUGGAUGAGUGGCGAACGGGUGAGUAACACGUGAGUAACCUGCCCCCUUCUUCUGGAUAACCGCAUGAAAGUGUGGCUAAUACGGGAUAUUCUGGGUCUGUCGCAUGAUGGGUCUGGGAAAGAUAUUGUUUCGGUGGGGGAUGGGCUCGCGGCCUAUCAGCUUGUUGGUGGGGUGAUGGCCUACCAAGGCGGUGACGGGUAGCCGGCCUGAGAGGGUGGACGGGCACACUGGGAAGGAGACACGGCCCAGACGGCUACGGGAGGCAGCAGUGGGGAAUAUUGCACGAUGGGCGGAAGAAUGAUGCAGCGACGCCGCGUGAGGGAUGGAGGCCUGCGGGUUGUGAACCUCUUUCGCCAGUGAAGCAGGCCUGCCUCGUUUGUGAGUGGGUUGACGGUAGCUGGAGAAGAAGCGCCGGCUAACUACGUG
RNAcentral lists this ribosomal RNA (494 nucleotides) under uncultured bacterium. Its description in RNAcentral is "partial 16S ribosomal RNA". It matches the Rfam family "Bacterial small subunit ribosomal RNA", at positions 28 to 507 of the family's 1533-position model. The record is from RNAcentral.